GCUCGGGUGGCGGAAUUGGUAGACGCGCAGGGUUCAGGACCCUGUGAGGGUUAGACCUCGUGAGGGUUCGAGUCCCUCCUCGAGCA
This 86-nucleotide transfer RNA is filed under the name Gemmatimonadota bacterium. RNAcentral's name for it is "Gemmatimonadetes bacterium (marine metagenome) tRNA-Leu". It matches the Rfam family "tRNA". From Rfam's summary of the family: Transfer RNA (tRNA) molecules are approximately 80 nucleotides in length. Their secondary structure includes four short double-helical elements and three loops (D, anti-codon, and T loops). Further hydrogen bonds mediate the characteristic L-shaped molecular structure. tRNAs have two regions of fundamental functional importance: the anti-codon, which is responsible for specific mRNA codon recognition, and the 3' end, to which the tRNAs corresponding amino acid is attached (by aminoacyl-tRNA synthetases). tRNAs cope with the degeneracy of the genetic code in two manners: having more than one tRNA (with a specific anti-codon) for a particular amino acid; and 'wobble' base-pairing, i.e. permitting non-standard base-pairing at the 3rd anti-codon position. Lineage: Bacteria; Pseudomonadati; Gemmatimonadota. The record is from RNAcentral.